Molecule: ribosomal RNA, 401 nt
Filed under: uncultured bacterium
Lineage: Bacteria
Description: bacterial SSU rRNA
Rfam family: Bacterial small subunit ribosomal RNA
Source: RNAcentral
GGAAUAUUGGGCAAUGGGCGCAAGCCUGACCCAGCAACGCCGCGUGAAGGAAGAAGGCUUUCGGGUUGUAAACUUCUUUUGUUGGGGACGAGUAGAAGACGGUACCUGACGAAUAAGCCACGGCUAACUACGUGCCAGCAGCCGCGGUAAUACGUAGGUGGCAAGCGUUGUCCGGAUUUACUGGGUGUAAAGGGCGUGUAGCCGGGUUGGCAAGUCAGAUGUGAAAUCUAUGGGCUUAACUCAUAAACUGCAUUUGAAACUGCUGAUCUUGAGUAUCGGAGAGGCAAUCGGAAUUCCUAGUGUAGCGGUGAAAUGCGUAGAUAUUAGGAGGAACACCAGUGGCGAAGGCGGAUUGCUGGACGACAACUGACGGUGAGGCGCGAAAGCGUGGGGAGCAAACA